RNAcentral lists this transfer RNA (68 nucleotides) under Hapalocarcinus marsupialis. Its description in RNAcentral is "tRNA-Leu". The record is from RNAcentral. Lineage: Eukaryota; Metazoa; Arthropoda; Malacostraca; Decapoda; Cryptochiridae.
GUUGCUUUGGCAGAUUUUAUGUACUGGACUUAGGAUCCUGUUAAAUAGAUUUAUAUCUAUAAGUAACU